This 504-nucleotide ribosomal RNA is filed under the name uncultured bacterium. Its description in RNAcentral is "partial 16S ribosomal RNA". It matches the Rfam family "Bacterial small subunit ribosomal RNA", at positions 30 to 523 of the family's 1533-position model. The record is from RNAcentral.
AUUGAACGCUGGCGGCAGGCCUAACACAUGCAAGUCGAACGGUAGCACAGAGAGCUUGCUCUUGGGUGACGAGUGGCGGACGGGUGAGUAAUGUCUGGGAAACUGCCCGAUGGAGGGGGAUAACUACUGGAAACGGUAGCUAAUACCGCAUAACGUCUUCGGACCAAAGUGGGGGACCUUCGGGCCUCACACCAUCGGAUGUGCCCAGAUGGGAUUAGCUAGUAGGUGGGGUAACGGCUCACCUAGGCGACGAUCCCUAGCUGGUCGGAGAGGAUGACAAGCAACACUGGAACUGAGACACAGUCCAAACUCCUAGGGGAGGAAGCAGUGGGGAAUAUUGCCCAAAGGGCGCAAGCCUGAUGCAGCCAUGCCGCGUGUAUGAAGAAGGCCUUCGGGUUGUAAAGUACUUUCAGUGGGGAGGAAGGCGAUGGAGUGAAUAGCUUCGUCGAUUGACGUUACCCGCAGAAGAAGCACCGGCUAACUCCGUGCCAGCCGCCGCCGUAA